This 465-nucleotide ribosomal RNA is filed under the name uncultured bacterium. Its description in RNAcentral is "partial 16S ribosomal RNA". It matches the Rfam family "Bacterial small subunit ribosomal RNA", at positions 338 to 795 of the family's 1533-position model. The record is from RNAcentral.
CCUACGGGCGGCAGCAGUGGGGAAUAUUGCGCAAUGGGCGAAAGCCUGACGCAGCGACGCCGCGUGAGGGAUGAAGAUCUUCGGAUCGUAAACCUCUGUCAGCAGGGAAGAACGGUCACUGUGCUAAUCAGCAGUGAAUUGACGGUACCUGCAAAGGAAGCACCGGCGAACUCCGUGCAAGCAGCCGCGGUAAUAAGGAGGGUGCGAGCGUUAAUCGGAAUUACUGGGCGUAAAGCGCUCGUAGGCGGUGUGGCAAGUCAAGGGUGAAAUCCCAGCGCGUAACGUGGGAAUUGCCUUUGAAACUGGCAAACUGGAGUGUGUGAGAGGAUAGUGGAAUUCCAGGUGUAGGAGUGAACUCCGUAGAUAUCUGGAGGAACAUCAGUGGCGAAGGCGACUAUCUGGCACAUAACUGACGCUGAGGAGCGAAAGCGUGGGUAGCAAACAGGAUUAGAUACCCUUGUAGUC